UGUAGUAUCCAGCGUGUAGAGCAGUUGACUUUUAAUCAAUUGGUCGCAGGUUCGAAUCCUGCACGA
RNAcentral lists this transfer RNA (66 nucleotides) under Escherichia coli. Its description in RNAcentral is "tRNA-Lys". The stretch from base 11 to 62 matches the Rfam family "tRNA", at positions 9 to 63 of the family's 71-position model. From Rfam's summary of the family: Transfer RNA (tRNA) molecules are approximately 80 nucleotides in length. Lineage: Bacteria; Pseudomonadati; Pseudomonadota; Gammaproteobacteria; Enterobacterales; Enterobacteriaceae. The record is from RNAcentral.